UGAGGAAUAUUGGUCAAUGGAGGAAACUCUGAACCAGCCACGCCGCGUGCAGGAUGAAUGCCUUAUGGGUUGUAAACUGCUUUUGUAUAAAAAUAAAACUUUUUACGUGUAAAAAGUUGAAGGUAUUAUACGAAUAAGUGUCGGCUAACUCCGUGCCAGCAGCCGCGGUAAUACGGAGGACACAAGCGUUAUCCGGAUUUAUUGGGUUUAAAGGGUGCGUAGGCGGUUUAUUAAGUCAGUAGUGAAAUCUUACAGCUCAACUGUAAAAUUGCUAUUGAUACUGAUAAACUUGAGUAAGAUUGGAGCAGCUGGAAUGUGUGGUGUAGCGGUGAAAUGCAUAGAUAUCACACAGAACACCGAUCGCGAAGGCAGGUUGCUAAAUCUUUACUGACGCUGAGGCACGAAAGCGUGGGGAGCAAACAGG
This 424-nucleotide ribosomal RNA is filed under the name uncultured Flavobacteriales bacterium. RNAcentral's name for it is "bacterial SSU rRNA". It matches the Rfam family "Bacterial small subunit ribosomal RNA", at positions 355 to 776 of the family's 1533-position model. The record is from RNAcentral. Lineage: Bacteria; Pseudomonadati; Bacteroidota; Flavobacteriia; Flavobacteriales.